GCACAAGCGGUGGAUGAUGUGGAUUAAUUCGAUGCAACGCGAAAACCUUACCUACCCUUGACAUGUCUGGAACCUUGGUGAGAGCCGAGGGUGCCUUCGGGAGCCAGAACACAGGUGCUGCAUGGCUGUCGUCAGCUCGUGUCGUGAGAUGUUGGGUUAAGUCCCGCAACGAGCGCAACCCUUGUCACUAGUUGCCAUCAUUUAGUUGGGCACUCUAGUGAGACUGCCGGUGACAAACCGGAGGAAGGUGGGGAUGACGUCAAGUCCUCAUGGCCCUUAUGGGUAGGGCUUCACACGUCAUACAAUGGUCGGUACAGAGGGUUGCCAAGCCGCGAGGUGGAGCCAAUCCCUUAAAGCCGAUCGUAGUCCGGAUCGUAGUCUGCAACUCGACUAUGUGAAGUCGGAAUCGCUAGUAAUCGUGGAUCAGCAUGCCACGGUGAAUACGUUCCCGGGCCUU
RNAcentral lists this ribosomal RNA (457 nucleotides) under uncultured Thauera sp. RNAcentral describes it as "bacterial SSU rRNA". It matches the Rfam family "Bacterial small subunit ribosomal RNA", at positions 923 to 1382 of the family's 1533-position model. The record is from RNAcentral. Lineage: Bacteria; Pseudomonadati; Pseudomonadota; Betaproteobacteria; Rhodocyclales; Zoogloeaceae.